This 505-nucleotide ribosomal RNA is filed under the name uncultured bacterium. Its description in RNAcentral is "partial 16S ribosomal RNA". It matches the Rfam family "Bacterial small subunit ribosomal RNA", at positions 28 to 507 of the family's 1533-position model. The record is from RNAcentral.
GACGAACGCUGGCGGCGUGCCUAAUACAUGCAAGUAGAACGCACAGUUUAUACCGUAGCUUGCUACACCAUAGACUGUGAGUUGCGAACGGGUGAGUAACGCGUAGGUAACCUGCCUGGUAGCGGGGGAUAACUAUUGGAAACGAUAGCUAAUACCGCAUAAUAUUGAUUAUUGCAUGAUAAUUAAUUGAAAGGUGCAAUUGCACCACUACCAGAUGGACCUGCGUUGUAUUAGCUAGUAGGUGAGGUAACGGCUCACCUAGGCGACGAUACAUAGCCGACCUGAGAGGGUGAUAGGCCACACUGGGACUGAGACACGGCCCAGACUCCUACGGGAGGCAGCAGUAGGGAAUCUUCGGCAAUGGACGAAAGUCUGACCGAGCAACGCCGCGUGAGUGAAGAAGGUUUUCGGAUCGUAAAGCUCUGUUGUAAGAGAAGAACGGGUGUGAGAGUGGAAAGUUCACACUGUGACGGUAGCUUACCAGAAAGGGACGGCUAACUACGUG